CGGCCCUUCGAGGCUUCCAACGCCAGACGUGUAUGCAUCAAUUGCUUCUCUCUCCGUCCUCUCUCAGGGGUUGAAGUAGUUUUUGCAAUAGAGAAAGCUGCGGUGGAGAUAUGACUUCUGUUCGCUGACGGUGCUCUCGGGCCGUCUAUCAAACUCAACUCGGGGCUGGAUUAUUACAUAGAUGUUGAUUAUCAAGUGGGUGAUGGCUUCUCUUUCAGUGGAGGUGUCUAUUCUCUUUUCCACUACCUCUUUUAUUUGCUAAAUGGCCUUUCCAAGUUUUUCAGUACUAGUAACUGAGGAAGUGGGUAAGUUUUUGACAGGAAAGUAUUCAUAUGGACCAAGCCCUUCUGAUGAAUGGUUCAAGCAGGGGAAGAUAGUGCUUAUAUUUCUCUUGGUUCUGGUGAGAAGGUCCGAUCUUGGACUUGCAAUGGGUGCUGAUUCUCAGGCAGUUGCUGAUGUUUUUAGGUAAAUUUGUACAUUUAGCUUUAGAGGACUAGCGGUUGGCAUGUUUGAAACAGUGUGGUUUAUACUUUUAUAGUAUAUGAGUCAUGCAGACAAUGAGUGUGGAAUUUGCAGGGUUUACCAAUUGUCUCACUCUACAAUAAUUUCACUUUUAAGAGAGUUAUUGAAGUUGUUAUUUUGG
Molecule: long non-coding RNA, 643 nt
Organism: Rosa rugosa (rugosa rose)
Lineage: Eukaryota; Viridiplantae; Streptophyta; Magnoliopsida; Rosales; Rosaceae
Exons: 4
Source: RefSeq, a predicted model, not a curated record